This 449-nucleotide ribosomal RNA is filed under the name uncultured bacterium. RNAcentral's name for it is "bacterial SSU rRNA". It matches the Rfam family "Bacterial small subunit ribosomal RNA", at positions 355 to 796 of the family's 1533-position model. The record is from RNAcentral.
UCGAGAAUCAUUCGCAAUGGGCGAAAGCCUGACGAUGCGACGCCGUGUGAACGAAGAAGGCCUUAGGGUUGUAAAGUUCUUUCGCUUGGGAACAAGAAAGGAAGAUGAAUAAUCUUCUGAUUUGAGGGUACUAGGUAAAGAAGCACCGGCUAACUCCGUGCCAGCAGCUGCGGUAAUACGGAGGGUGCAAGCAUUAAUCGGAUUUAUUGGGCGUAAAGGGCGCGUAGGCGGUUUAGAAAGUCAGAUGUGAAAUUCUGAGGCUCAACUUCAGAGCUGCAUUUGAAACUUCUAGACUAGAGGGUAGGCGGAGAAAACGGAAUUCCACGUGUAGCGGUGAAAUGCGUAGAUAUGUGGAAGAACACCGGUGGCGAAGGCGGUUUUCUAGCUUACACCUGACGCUAAAGCGCGAAAGCAAGGGGAGCAAACAGGAUUAGAUACCCCCGUAGUCC